UUAAAUUGAAGAGUUUGAUCAUGGCUCAGAUUGAACGCUGGCGGCAGGCCUAACACAUGCAAGUCGAACGGUAACAGGAAUCAGCUUGCUGCUUUGCUGAC
RNAcentral lists this ribosomal RNA (101 nucleotides) under Escherichia coli. Its description in RNAcentral is "partial 16S ribosomal RNA". It matches the Rfam family "Bacterial small subunit ribosomal RNA", at positions 1 to 99 of the family's 1533-position model. Lineage: Bacteria; Pseudomonadati; Pseudomonadota; Gammaproteobacteria; Enterobacterales; Enterobacteriaceae. The record is from RNAcentral.